Rhincodon typus (whale shark) is the source of this 394-nucleotide long non-coding RNA. RefSeq lists it as uncharacterized. Lineage: Eukaryota; Metazoa; Chordata; Chondrichthyes; Orectolobiformes; Rhincodontidae. The record is from RefSeq and is a predicted model, not a curated record. The transcript has 3 exons.
CCCGCGGAAUGCUGGGAGUUUCCAGCCAAUGGCGGCACGAUCCCUGCACUGACAUCAGCGCGCGAGCCCGAGCUCGAGCCCGGAGCAGCCGCACGCGCUGCGCAGGCCGCGGGCAGAAGAAAAGCCUACAGCGGCGCCAUCGCCACCAUCUGCUCAAGUGACGGCUGCGCCACUUCCCGCAGAAUGAUGGUCUUCUAUCAAGACGUCAUGUAAAGAGACAUCUGCAGAGGUGGUAACUGAGAGAAUAUCAACAGCAGUAGAUCUGCACUAUCUUUCAAGUUGUUUAGUACAGUAUCCAGAAGAGGUAAAAGGAUCCUCUUUCUCUUACAUUAUGGAUGAGCAACCUUCACAACAAUUUGCUGGUCAUGUUGCAGUUUCUGCAUUUCCAUCACAG